Patella vulgata (common limpet) is the source of this 2967-nucleotide long non-coding RNA. RefSeq lists it as uncharacterized. The record is from RefSeq and is a predicted model, not a curated record. Lineage: Eukaryota; Metazoa; Mollusca; Gastropoda; Patellidae. The transcript has 3 exons.
UGAAAUCUCCCACAUGAUAGAAGACUGGUCUUGAAGCCAACCAUAUGACUAUCAAUCUUAUCAUUUGUUUUGAUUGACAAGAAAGUUUUUCAGAAUUUUAUUCAAAAUGGAUGUUUUUCUGAAUCCUGAAAGACGCUUAAUGAGUAUACUCGGAUUUUCUUUACAAGUUCUGUUCAGUUUAAUGAAACUACCAUACGUCUUAACGGAAACAACAACUGAAAUGAUGAAUGACACAACCAUGUAUACUGGCACAACCCCAGCAGAAGAUUGGCAAGGCAAUAAGGAUCAGGAAACGACAUUUGCAGUCACAACAACACCACUACCAACAACAACUGAAGCUACGACUACUACCACCUUACCACAAUCAACCACACCUUCUUUACAGGAACAGGAAGCUUUUCUGACACAUGACAUGAUACAAGGAUUAGCUGCUGGAUUUGGAUUUUUCUUUGGAACAAUUAUAUUAAUCGUUUUAUUGUGGUGUUUAUGUUGCAGUAAUGCCUGCUCUAGGCCGGAUAAACCACAAAAACUAAUGCGCCCAAAAGUAGGCCCAUCUCCCACACCCAAAGGAACGUCAAGAAACAGUUGAAGAUAGGCAAAAGAAUCAAGCAUAUUGAUGCUAAACAUUUAUGUACGGUUGUGAUUCCAAGAUAAUUGUGAUCUACAUGUAUUCAGAUGACCACGAUGCUUUCUUUUAAGGGUGAAAUUUGUGGAUGAAUACCUUUUUUUGAAAUACCGUAAUGUUGGAUCGGUGUCAUAUGAAUCGAUCCAGAUGAUCUAAUUUCACCGAAUCUACAGUCAUUAUAUAUUUUAUAAAAUAUUUGUAAAUAUAAUAAUAAUAUAGCAUAACCUUUAAUCCCUCCAAUCGUCCAUGUAUUUGUUGAAGUGGAUUUUCUGCUGAUAUAGGUGUUUUUAAAUCUGCUGAAUUAUUUUAUAUUUUUUAACUGAGCUACAGUAUUUACUGAUUGUGAAGAGGAUAUUGGACAGUUCUGUUGGUUUUGUUGUCAGAUAAUGUAUAUAUGGAAUGUUUAAAUUGUAGAUAACAUUUUUCGGUUUGGAGGAGGCCAAUAUCAUACACAUGCACGUACAUUGAUUUUGUUAAUGUGCCAAUUUGUAACAUGUUUUGUAAAGCAGGAAUUCGGUGCUUGUAUAUCAGUAUAGUUUUAUAUUCAAAAAUGCUGCUUAUAAACCCGGGAUGGGGUCAUUAAAUUAAUGCAGCAUUUUAGUCCACCCGUAAGUAGUAUUCGCGAUUGCAAAAAGAAUUCUUGCUUUACAAGAGUAGGGCCUAUUAACAUUUCCGCAAUCAAUUUCCGUCAUGUUAAAUGCUGCUGAAAAUAUUUGCUGAAUAUUGUUUAAUAUGGGAUCUUUAAGAUUAUUAUUAGCACUAUUUUUACCUGUUGACUGAUGCCAACUGUUGUUUAUUUAGCGGUUUGAUUAAAUGAAUUGCAGAGUUAAUAUGAUAUACUCUGUACGCCCAGCUUUCUAGUAAUGGUGGUUAACAUUUCAAACUGUUAGGUUUGACUUUAAAAAGGAAAGUAGGGCUUUUUCCUAGUUAGUGUGAAGAAUGAAAUUAGACCCCAAAUUGUGUCAUAAUUUUGGUGCCAUACGUUUUACAAUUUUCGGUCACUUUCCAGCAGUUUGCUACAUUUUGGAUUUGUAAUGUGAUCUGAUUUAUUUUAACAACGUUCUCUAUUAUUUACAAAAUUUGUUAUGGCAACCUUGGCAGAAAACACAUAAACAGGGACAGAGGGGCGCCUUUUUAUGAUGAAAUGUUUUGUGUUCCGGACACUUUUUUUUAAAUUAUAUUUUAGUAUAAUAUAUAUAUACGCUAUAUAUUAACUUUUUCAGAUCAUUGUGGGGCGUAAAAGGUUGAAAAAUACUGCCCUAAGCGAUCUUCUUUUAAACAGUUGUGUUUUCUUCGAAUUGCUUCUAAUUGUACGUGUGACACGUUAGGUUGCAUGUGUCAAAUUACGCCUCUAGUCGUAGUAUAUAGUCGUGAACUCCAGAGUUAUUUCGUGUUAAUUGAAUUCGGAAUCGGACAUUUUAAUUGAAAUUAAUAAACCGUUCGCCACUUCAAAUGAUGAUGAAGGCCUAUGUUAGUUAUCUUCUGAAAGUUGAAGUAAGCGACUUAAACCGUGAACCAAACCAACUUGCAACAAAUUUUUCGCCUUGGGAAACCAAGGACUCCCCUCCCCCUUCUGCCGGAGCAUUUUCAGGCUGACCACACCUAGUUUAGUAGUUUUAUAGUUGACGAUCAUCUUUGCAUCAUGAAAUCUUAAUAGAUCUGGUAGACGUUUUUUUUUUAAAUCAACAUUUCUUUAACUUAAGCCCCUAUCACACCAAAGCACGACCUGAAGCAAAUCAAAUAUUUUGAGUCGCACUGUAAAGCUGGAGAAGGUCUUCUUGGAUCAAACUUUUAGAUAAUAAAUAAUUGUUAUAUUGUAAAUAAGCCUAAUAAUCAUGCUAUAGUGUAUUGUUAUUUUUGUAUUAUUUUGUAAAGCCGACUGUUUGGGGAAAAAGUAUUAGUAGAUAGAAAGAAAACAAAAAGAAUCGUUCAAAUGCGGCUCCAUUUUUUUUAUACGCCGACAUUUUGAUGUGGCCGUAUAUUGGCGCCAAUUCUGCUGCAUUUACAAAAAGUAACCUGUGAAUCAUUCAGUUGAUUUCAUUUUCAAGGCAUAUACACGGGAUUUGUAUGUCGAACUGGGAUAACCACAAUAAAUUUGCUGGACAAUAAUGCUGGCGGUUGGCGAAUUCCGUUGGCUGGCAACCAAAAUUUACCAGUUGGUGUGCCAUAAAAAUGGAGGUUAUGUUCAGCAUUUCCAGAAAUUAGUGUUUUUUGGGUAUUGUUAAAUAGCAAAUAAAUUAUACGCAACUACGCGUAGAAUAUCAGUCUCCUUCACAUAAUGAAGGAAACACGGACUAAAUUGAAAACGCACUGUUGGUAUAUUAAAGGUUGUGAAGCAUAUU